This 137-nucleotide long non-coding RNA is filed under the name Penaeus japonicus. Its description in RNAcentral is "uncharacterized LOC122245353". Lineage: Eukaryota; Metazoa; Arthropoda; Malacostraca; Decapoda; Penaeidae. The record is from RNAcentral.
GGAAGCCAUUAUGCGAAUCAGGAAUCGAAGUGACGUGUCGCAGAUUUUCAGAUUUACGUGUGUUAACAAUAUGGAUAAGAAUGAAGGGGAAAUAUGAUUCAAAAUGUAAUGAAGGAAUAAUAAAGCUCAGAAAAUUC